Molecule: microRNA precursor, 113 nt
Filed under: Bigelowiella natans CCMP2755
Lineage: Eukaryota; Cercozoa; Chlorarachniophyceae
Description: miRNA EPrBNAG00000013159
Source: RNAcentral
UGAUGAUGAUGAUGAUGAUGAUGAUUGAUGAUGAUACUACCUGAUCUACAAGUCCCGGUCUUCUAACCUUAAUAGCGACAACUCUAUCGUCGGCAUCAUCAUCAUCAUUAUCU